This 497-nucleotide ribosomal RNA is filed under the name uncultured bacterium. RNAcentral describes it as "partial 16S ribosomal RNA". It matches the Rfam family "Bacterial small subunit ribosomal RNA", at positions 28 to 507 of the family's 1533-position model. The record is from RNAcentral.
GAUGAACGCUGGCGGCGUGCCUAAUACAUGCAAGUCGAGCGAACAGACGAGGAGCUUGCUCCUCUGACGUUAGCGGCGGACGGGUGAGUAACACGUGGAUAACCUACCUAUAAGACUGGGAUAACUUCGGGAAACCGGAGCUAAUACCGGAUAAUAUAUUGAACCGCAUGGUUCAGUAGUGAAAGACGGUUUUGCUGUCACUUAUAGAUGGAUCCGCGCCGCAUUAGCUAGUUGGUAAGGUAACAGCUUACCAAGGCAACGAUGCGUAGCCGACCUGAGAGGGUGAUCGGCCACACUGGAACUGAGACACGGUCCAGACUCCUACGGGAGGCAGCAGUAGGGAAUCUUCCGCAAUGGGCGAGAGCCUGACGGAGCAACGCCGCGUGAGUGAUGAAGGUCUUCGGAUCGUAAAACUCUGUUAUUAGGGAAGAACAAAUGUGUAAGUAACUAUGCACGUCUUGACGGUACCUAAUCAGAAAGCCACGGCUAACUACGUG